CUCUUUUUGAUAAUAAUUUAAAGUUGGGCCUGCCCACUGAAUUUUUAAAGGGCCGCAGUAUUUUGACUGUGCAAAGGUAGCAUAAUCAUUAGUUUUUUAAUUGAAAGCUAGUAUGAAAGGUUUGAUGAAAAAAUUUCUGUUUCAAUUUUAUUUUAAAGAAUUUUAUUUUUAAGUUAAAAAGCUUAAAUAAUUUUUAAAGACGAGAAGACCCUAUAGAGUUUAACUAAAAUUUAUUAUAGUAAAAUUUUAGAAUUAAAUUUUAAAUUUUAAAUUAAGUUUUGUUGGGGUGAUAAAAAAAUUAAAUUAACUUUUUUUUUAUUUAAACAAAAUUUUUUGAAUUUUUGAUCCAUUUAUAUGAUUAAAAGAUUAAAUUACCUUAGGGAUAACAGCGUAAUAUUUUUUAAGAGUUCAUAUUUUAAAAAAAGAUUGCGACCUCGAUGUUGGAUUAAAAUUAAUUUUUGGUGCAGAAGCUAAAAAAUUGGGUCUGUUCGACCUUUAAAAUUUUACAUGAUCUGAGUUU
This 520-nucleotide ribosomal RNA is filed under the name Epilachna karisimbica. Its description in RNAcentral is "partial 16S ribosomal RNA". The stretch from base 382 to 520 matches the Rfam family "Bacterial large subunit ribosomal RNA", at positions 2473 to 2612 of the family's 2925-position model. The record is from RNAcentral. Lineage: Eukaryota; Metazoa; Arthropoda; Insecta; Coleoptera; Coccinellidae.